This is a long non-coding RNA of Papaver somniferum (opium poppy), 659 nucleotides long. RefSeq lists it as uncharacterized. The record is from RefSeq and is a predicted model, not a curated record. NCBI's taxonomy places the organism in Eukaryota, Viridiplantae, Streptophyta, Magnoliopsida, Ranunculales, Papaveraceae. The transcript has 3 exons.
UUUCUUCAUCUCCUCUACCAAAGUUUCUUUAUCACCUACACAACUAAAACCCUAUCUUCUAAAUUAUGUGCAUCGUCAUUAAACAAGCCCUUUACUCCACCUCGUUCUUAUUGAUGUCUUCUAUUAAUUUUUUCGUUUUCUGGAAACAGAAACAGAACCAUUUCUGUAACCAAUUUCUUAGAAUUGUAACAUCAAAUUCAAUUGUGAACCAUUCUUAAAUCCAUUUUUUUGCCUUUAUCUGUUAGGGUUCUAAUCAACUAUUCUUCUAUUUCGUAAAUGGAACCCCCUUUUAUUUCAACAUCAGUAGUAUAUCGGAGAAGAGUACCACAAAAAUCAGAGAAGAUGUUCUGGUUAUUAUCAUUGGAUUUAUUUGUGUUAUGUUUUAUUCGAAGUAAUACAUCUACAAAGCAGCCAUCAGGGAUCAGCUGGAACACAUGAUUCUUGGGGACCUCAAAUUAAGGGUCUUACUUGAGACACCAAAUGAUGAGAUGAACAUCAUUAGAAACGAUUCAUUUAGUUUAUUGAUGAUCUCAGUGGAGUAAGAAAUGGAAUUGACUAUUGAGGUUUGUGCAUUUGAUAAUUGUGGAAUGGGCUAGAGUUCGAUACCCACUAGAAAAUCUGAAUACAUGGACAACAAUAUGGCAAAAGAUGCAUUGGCA